CCUUCUGAUUUUUUUCAGCUCAGCCUGCGACUUCUCUAAAGAGUCUAAUUUGCUUCGGUGUUCAGUUUGGUACCUCUUUAAAGUUGCCUGCAAGCAAAGCAUUUAAAACACCUCAUGAUGCACUCAGCCUGUAACUGGGAAUCCCUCCUCAUGCCUCUACAGCUCCUUGCUCAACAGGCUGCAGGGGACCAGGACACAAUGAAGGAACCAGGACACGAUGAGAACAGUCAACCCCUUGAUUAGCACGGAAAAGGAACUCCCACUCAGGAUAGUUGAGGGGAGAGACAGAGAUUAAUUUUACAGUCUGACUGGUGCAGAAGAGAUAAACAGACUUCCAAAGCUCGUAAGACCCUGGAAGAUGCCUGAGCCAAGUCCCAUGGCAGCGAGCGACACGCAGGAUUGUACCCGGCCCGGCCACUGACUUGCGAGCCCGUCCCCUCUGUACGGAACCAAACAGCAUGAGGGGAACGCACAGAAGAUAAAGCCGGCCAGUAGCUGCCACGGCUGUUUUCCCCGGCCACCCGCUCUCCCCGCCAGCCCCUCGCGCCCAGCCAGGAGCACCAGCCCAUUCCACGUUGCGCUCAGCGCGAGGAACAGAAUGAGAGAGUCCGGCUCUUUGAGAAUCCUUCUCCCGUCUCAUAAUUACGCAAAGAGUGAAGGGAUGGAGCACAGGCACUGCAGUAGCCUAGCACUUCUUGUUUAUGAUACCAAUUAUGAUCCCAUUUUAUUUAAUUUUCUAAUUCAGGAUUGCAAUU
Chroicocephalus ridibundus (black-headed gull) is the source of this 755-nucleotide long non-coding RNA. RefSeq lists it as uncharacterized. The transcript has 4 exons. NCBI's taxonomy places the organism in Eukaryota, Metazoa, Chordata, Aves, Charadriiformes, Laridae. The record is from RefSeq and is a predicted model, not a curated record.